RNAcentral lists this ribosomal RNA (468 nucleotides) under uncultured bacterium. RNAcentral's name for it is "partial 16S ribosomal RNA". It matches the Rfam family "Bacterial small subunit ribosomal RNA", at positions 28 to 507 of the family's 1533-position model. The record is from RNAcentral.
GACGAACGCUGGCGGCGUGCUUAACACAUGCAAGUCGAACGGAAAGGCCCUGCUUUUGUGGGGUGCUCGAGUGGCGAACGGGUGAGUAACACGUGAGUAACCUGCCCUUGACUUUGGGAUAACUUCAGGAAACUGGGGCUAAUACCGGAUAGGAGCUCCUGCUGCAUGGUGGGGGUUGGAAGGUUUCGGCGGUUGGGGAUGGACUCGCGGCUUAUCAGCUUGUUGGUGGGGUAGUGGCUUACCAAGGCUUUGCCGGGUAGCCGGCCUGAGAGGGUGACCGGCCACAUUAGGACUGGAAUACGACCCAGACUCCUACGGGAGGCAGCGGUGGGGAAUAUUGCACAAUGGGCGGAAGCCUGAUGCAGCAACGCCGCGUGCGGGAUGACGGCCUUCGGGUUGUAAACCGCUUUCGCCUGUGACGAGGCGUGAGUGACGGUAAUGGGUAAAGAAGCACCGGCUAACUACGUG